CUAUUCUUUCUUCUUAUCUAAUCCUUGAUCUCUGGUCUAUUAUGAAUUCAAUCAUGUCUAUCUAUGAAUUUCAUAGACCUAUGGGCACACAUCUCGAACCACCAAAAUCUUCAAAGCCUAUCAUAGCAUCUAGUUUUGAGAUAGACCCCGAAUACAUAGAAUUUAUUCAAAAACAACCUUUCUCAGGAGAAGGUGAGAAAAACCCAUACACACACCUAAGAGAGUUUUAUCGAGUCUGUGACCUCCUU
RNAcentral lists this long non-coding RNA (248 nucleotides) under Sorghum bicolor (sorghum). RNAcentral describes it as "long non-coding RNA (SBIC_LNC010667)". The record is from RNAcentral. Lineage: Eukaryota; Viridiplantae; Streptophyta; Magnoliopsida; Poales; Poaceae.